UGGGGAAUUUUGGACAAUGGGCGAAAGCCUGAUCCAGCAAUGCCGCGUGUGUGAAGAAGGCCUUCGGGUUGUAAAGCACUUUUGUCCGGAAAGAAAUCCUUGGCUCUAAUACAGUCGGGGGAUGACGGUACCGGAAGAAUAAGCACCGGCUAACUACGUGCCAGCAGCCGCGGUAAUACGUAGGGUGCAAGCGUUAAUCGGAAUUACUGGGCGUAAAGCGUGCGCAGGCGGUUUGCUAAGACCGAUGUGAAAUCCCCGGGCUCAACCUGGGAACUGCAUUGGUGACUGGCAGGCUAGAGUAUGGCAGAGGGGGGUAGAAUUCCACGUGUAGCAGUGAAAUGCGUAGAGAUGUGGAGGAAUACCGAUGGCGAAGGCAGCCCCCUGGGCCAAUACUGACGCUCAUGCACGAAAGCGUGGGGAGCAAACAGGAUUAGAUACCCUGGUAGUCCACGCCCUAAACGAUGUCAACUAGUUNUUGGGGAUUCAUUUCCUUAGUAACGUAGCUAACGCGUGAAGUUGACCGCCUGGGGAGUACGGUCGCAAGAUUAAAACUCAAAGGAAUUGACGGGGU
RNAcentral lists this ribosomal RNA (571 nucleotides) under uncultured bacterium. RNAcentral describes it as "partial 16S ribosomal RNA". It matches the Rfam family "Bacterial small subunit ribosomal RNA", at positions 355 to 919 of the family's 1533-position model. The record is from RNAcentral.